AACGAACGCUGACGGCGUGCUUAACACAUGCAAGUCGAACGAGAAAAUCCUAGCUUGCUAGGGUGAGUAAAGUGGCGCACGGGUGAGUAACACGUGAGUAAUCUGCCCUUAAGUCAGGGAUAACUCCGCGAAAGCGGGGCUAAUACCCGAUAUGCUCACGACUACUGCGGUAGACGUGAGAAAAGGUGGCCUCUGUCAUAAGCUACCGCUAAAGGAUGAGCUCGCGUACCAUUAGCUAGUUGGUAGGGUAAUGGCCUACCAAGGCUUCGAUGGUUAGCUGGUCUGAGAGGAUGAUCAGCCACACUGGAACUGACACACGGUCCAGACACCUACGGGUGGCAG
This 342-nucleotide ribosomal RNA is filed under the name uncultured Pseudomonadota bacterium. RNAcentral describes it as "bacterial SSU rRNA". It matches the Rfam family "Bacterial small subunit ribosomal RNA", at positions 29 to 351 of the family's 1533-position model. Lineage: Bacteria; Pseudomonadati; Pseudomonadota. The record is from RNAcentral.